AAAACUCUAGAACUAAGAACUAUAAAAUUAAAGGAAGAGAAGAGAAGAAAAACUAGUUAGAAGCCUCCUCCAAGCAUGGUGUAUGUUGCCUCGCGUGAAUUAUCCUUCAAAGUAUGUUCUAUAUCAACAAAGUGGCGUCUUUUCCUCCAAAAAUAGGUUAAGUCUUGCUUUAUUACGUGUUGGGUAGGUCUAGGGCCGAAAUAACCUUGUUCUGGGCGAAAUUGGACAAAAUCAUGUCAUCGGCACCCUGGGUAGCGCCAGGCGCCCACCAGGGCACUGCCUCAAACUUCCAUUCCGCCUCCAGCGCCACAAGUGGCGCCAGGCGCUGCCUGUGGCGCCCUAGUGCUCAAUUCGUCCGAUUUUGUUCGUUUUGGCUCAAAUCUUGCGUGUUUCCCCCCAAUUGCUCCUGAAUCAUUCCAACACAUAAAAACACUUCAAAUUAAUAUAAAUCAUAGCAUUAAACAUCCCAAAUUCAUGAAACAAAAGUAAAAUAUGAGGCGAUAUACAUACAAAUAUAUAUACUUUAAGUUAAACAUCAACACCCCACACUUAAACUCUU
Molecule: long non-coding RNA, 559 nt
Filed under: Nicotiana tabacum (common tobacco)
Lineage: Eukaryota; Viridiplantae; Streptophyta; Magnoliopsida; Solanales; Solanaceae
Description: long non-coding RNA (NTAB_LNC015006)
Source: RNAcentral